Non-coding RNA from Struthio camelus australis, 4719 nucleotides. Lineage: Eukaryota; Metazoa; Chordata; Aves; Struthioniformes; Struthionidae. The record is from RefSeq and is a predicted model, not a curated record.
GGCAAAUCCUAGCCCCUUCCCCCAAGGGGUCGGAGGAGCAAUUGCGUUUUGGCCUCAAAGAGAAAUCCUGUUGACUGGAACAAGGGCUGCUGCAGCCAGGGCUGGAACAAAACUUUUUAAGCCUAGAGCUGAGAAAACACCAGGUGGUAACAGGAGCUGCAAAUUGCUAAGUAACUCUGGCAAAGUUCCUCUGCACCCUCAUUUCCAGAAAAAAGCCCUGAGGCUGUUUUCUCUAUCUGUGGAGCGGCCUCCUUCCUUUAGCGAGUUCAGGAUUUGCAGACGUAAGGAGGAGAGCAGCGAGAGCUGAUUUCGCCCCCACCUUUCUCUGCUUCUGCUAUCCAGCGUGCCGUGCACAGCCGUCAUCCAGGAGGCCACCGUUGGUCCUCAGCCUGUGCACGCAGCUGCUCCUGCGUUGCCGUAUGAACGGUCGAGGCUUCGCUGACAGAGAGCCUGGGGCUGCCUGCUUUCAGCCGCUAGAAGAUCAGAUGCCAUUUCAAGCAGGUCUGAGAAGGGACUGAAGAAGGUAAGGACUUCAGUCUCAAGUCAUAUGAAGCAAGAAAUAAGAAUAACUGGAAAUCGAGGACGAGAUGGAAUGCAGGCCGCUAAGGGAUUAUAACGGAGAAAGUACAACAUGUGCCAUAAAAGAUUACACACAUCCUGCCACACUCCGCAGAUGGCUGAUACAAAAAUCAGAGACAAUACUAAAAUAAUUAAAAAACUCACAAAAAUAAACCAGUGCAUUCAGCUCCUUUGUGAGGCUGUGGCUAAGGAAACUGAGCCAGCCAGCCUGAAAUGCACAAUAUAAAUACCGGCAGGCUGCGUGGGAUCUCGGCGAGCGGAAGGAUGCUUGUGAACUUGUCGGCAAGCAGAAAACGGACAAGGUUGAUGUGACUGACCUUCUGUGCUGAAGCCUGAUCCUUCCUGUCGUUUGAGAUGGCGGUGCAGGAAGAAAAGAUCACUGAGUACACCCGUGUAUUGGAGAUGCCCAGCUCUGCUGCAGGAGCGGCAAGUGGAAGCAAGAACGUGCUUGGGAUCUCGCUGUAAAAAACAGGGUCUAAAUCAGUUGCCGACCCUGUGCUGGCAUCGCAUGUGGUGUAGAAAUCCCCUCUCCGUGGCCUUGGACCUCAGCAGCUCCCUGCUGCAGCUCGUCACCCUGCCUCUGGCUAACGAACUCCCGCAAAACUCCACGUCCUCACCAAGAAACGAGCAAAUCCAGCCACAGCUCUUGUGCUGGGACCUUCCAGGUGGAGACGGUGCGUUGCUGAGCUCCCGCUGUCCUCUCCCAUCUCCCGCUGAAUGACUGAGCUUGUGAAUCAACAGACCAAAAACUCUCCAAAUGGCAUGGGAUGCCUCACUGCUUCUCACAUGGUUCUGCUGGAGCUGCAAGCUGGGCAGGCCAGGAGGAACCGGCAUGCCGGGCAAAUGCUGGCAGGUGUCACAUGCAGACCAGUGGAGCAUGUUGUCCUCUGCUUGCUGGCCGCCGCUGUGUCUCCCUUGUUCGUUUUGGUCCAACUAACCCCAGGCGGGAAGCCAGCUGCUUCAGCCAGGGGAAAUGCAGGAGCAGAUCUGGAACCCUCUGUCUGUGCUCUGUAGCGCCUUUAUUCUGCGAGUUCGCACAAGAAACUCAAACCUCCAUCCAGCGUGGGAAAGCACUUCUUCAUGUGCUCAACUUCAGCUGGGUGAGAGCUGGUGAAGUACUUCCAGAGCCCGUGUGCAUGGGUGAGAGGGCAGAGCCCCAGCGGCUGAGCUGCCCUCCCGGCUCGGGGCUUAGCUGGAUGAGGCUGCCGGUCCCUGUUACCAAGUGGUCAAGCCGGGCACUGGCACAGGAAACCUCCCCUGGCGGCACAAGGAGAGAUUUGAACUGACAACAGUGAGAAUCCCUUUGGAUGUGGAAAACCAUCCAUUUGCCUUGCACAGUACAGCUACGGUUAACCACUGCUAAUUGCAACAGCUACCAGAGCAAUCAUUCGGAGCCAGACCGCUUCAGGUAUUGAGUGAAGGUUUUGUGCUUUUAUGGAGUGUUUCUGGAGGACUCUGAGGAUAAUAGCAUGACAUAUUUUGCUCUCCUGUUUUUUCUUUCCUACACACCUGUUAUGUGUAUUAUGAAAGCUCCAGGUAACCAGGUUCUCAAUGGAGGCAGCUUCUUGCCCCCACCAGGCUCCAGCUACAAGCCUGGUGUGUGUCCACCUUGGUAACGUGGUGGCCUGGCCAGGCUGAGCACCGAGACGUCCUGCUGAUGCCCUGCCUGGGCAGGGGAUGUCCAGCCCGCGUGACUGCAGAGCAUGGUAUGGUGUAGGCAGCAAAAGAGUAGGCAGAGAAGGUGGGUUGGGACAUAUGUGUCAAACUGGGCUCCUUGCCCUUGCUCUUGCAGGAGAUCUGGCUUCUCACAACAACGUAGGUGUGAACGCUGUGUGAUAUUGGGUCCUCUUCAACUUUGGGUCUCUUCCAAGGCACAGAUACGCAGGCCAGAGGGUCUUCAGUUGAGGGGCUUCGUUGUCACAACACAAUUGUAGCCAUGGACUUGCUCAAAAUCGGGAAAAACCCAAAAUCUGAAGAUGUACAGAGCAGAGAGCCAACUUGAGUUAAGAGUGUUAUAAAAGGAGAAUAUUUUGAAUUCCAUUUUUUUUUAUGAUUUCAUCUUUAUACAUAUCGUAUAAAUCCUCCAAAAUGGAGCACAGUGCGAUAUUUCUUUCCUCUGGUUUACUUUUUUCUCAACUCUUGCAAAGAAUUUUCUAUCACAAUUUUGAGGUUUAUUAAAAAAAAUCCUAUGGGAAAUGAGUACCAUUCUUUAUUAAACUACAUAGGAUAUGUUCCUAAGAGUCUCUCACACUCCUCCCACACACAGCUUCCUACAUGUGAGAUAAAUUAAGAAUGUCACUAUCUUUGAUGCCAGAAGUAUUUCCAUCUUCCACUGCAAAUAUGCAGUGAUGCAUCUAGAAUAGCACUGUCAAGGGAAGAAAUCUUCACAUGAACAAAAUUUAGCUGUCUGUGUUCCUGUUCUACGUGCACUUAAGCAUUUAUCCACAGUGGAUAUUUACUUCUGUGAGAUCAUGCCAGGUGCAGGUAAAAGGAGGAAGAAAACUCUUCUUUCUUCAUAUCUAAAGCUGUUCUGAGGGUAUUUCUGUGCUUUGCGGGAAGCGUGGCUCAUCUGCUCGAGCACAGAGAUAUCUCCGUGUAUAUUGGGCCUUCCCAUGAGUUGUAUCAACCCUGCUAUGGUCUUGCAAAACAGUAGAAGGGGUUGAUUGAAGGGCUUUGCGCUUGCUAGUAGCACGGAGGUUGCUGAGGAAUCUGGGUGACCCUUGCUGGCAUGCAGGGCAUUGUCUGCACCUCGUUUUGCAGAGCCAAAGGGCAGACAUCAGCGCUGGGUUUGUGCUUGCGCUUCUCCCUUGCGGCCAGUCAUGCCAAAAUAUGCGCAUGUAAUAGCUUUCCCUUUUCCUAAUGCCUCUUACUAGAAUGUUGUUUAAAAAUAAUGUGUUUUCCUGCCAUUAAAAACACUAGGUACAAGUGGAGAACUGGAUAGAAAUGCAUUGCUUAAUAAUUAAAACAGAAAUUCAAAUUUCAGGGAGUGCAGUCAGUCUCACAGAGUACCUGAUCUGGUGUCCAGUGUGCAGUACAGUAGCAAGAAAUGCACCCACAGCACCACUCCUCCAUGGGAAGGUACAAAUUAGAAAUUUCAAGGACUGUUGAACACUGUGAAUUUCCACUGUGGAUCAGCACAAAGUUAUUUGGCACAGGAAGUUCUGUAACUGUGUUACAUUGGGAAGCUUCAUAUUGUGCAAUGGCCCUAAAACUCAUCCUCCCCCCUUUAACAUUUGGAGAGCCAGUGUUAAGACAUAUUUAAUAUAAAGCAGAUAGAUAGGAUACUAGCUGACUGGAGUGUUGUUUUUUUUUUUUGUCUCUUGUUGCCUUUUCAUUAUUCAUCUUAGGAUCAUCUCCUUUGCAAUUUAUAUUCAGCAUAAAUAAUAAUUAAACCAGGAGACAGAGAUGUUACAGUGUAAACGUGAAGAAAAAUUCCCUGAAAAAUUCCCUGUCCCUGAUGGGGAACAAAGUUACAAAGGUAGCCAGGACAUGAAGAGUCUUCUCUAGUCUAAGGAAAUGUGGUCCUUUGCUAAUGCCUGCUGGAGAGAAGGAAAGCAUUAACAUGCAAACGCUGCUCUUAAGUGCCCAGAAUGUAGUGAUUAAAGCACUCUUGCUGUGUGAUCUUAGGCCUCUUACCCUUUCUAUUCGUUAAUUAAUUUCCUCUAUCAUUUAUGUAUUAAUAAAAACAAAUUACCUGCUUCAUGGGAGGUGAGAGGUUUUAUUCAUUUCUGUUUGCAAACAGCUUUGAGAUCCAAGGAAGGAAGGAAGAUGUUACAGAAAUGUGAUGCCUGUAUGUAGUGCAUAAAUGAUAUAUGACAAGGUUUUAUUUCUUGGCAGUGUGAUAAUUUGGCCUUGAAGUAAGUCUUUUUCCUUUUCUGCGUCUAAAUUUCUUUUUCUGACAUUGUCAAACAAGGUGCAGCCUUUUACUCUAAUGUGAUACGUAAAUGAGUGAGUUUAUGAACGCAUCUGUUUGGGGUGCCUUUGUUUCAGCCUCCUUUCUUAAGCAAGCGUCUAUGGGUGACUCAGUGCCUAUGGAGCCUUCUACCAACAGGUCAUGAGUUUGAAACUAGUGCUGGGAUUCAAAAUUGCUUCCGUGUCCCACCUUUAUGAGAUUACCAUGGAUUCAUCUCCUGGAAUCAA